Molecule: ribosomal RNA, 483 nt
Filed under: uncultured bacterium
Lineage: Bacteria
Description: partial 16S ribosomal RNA
Rfam family: Bacterial small subunit ribosomal RNA
Source: RNAcentral
GACGAACGCUGGCGGCGUGCUUAACACAUGCAAGUCGAACGCUGAAGCUCAGCUUUUGUUGGGUGGAUGAGUGGCGAACGGGUGAGUAACACGUGAGUAACCUGCCCCCUUCUUUGGGAUAACGCCCGGAAACGGGUGCUAAUACUGGAUAUUCACUGGUCUUCGCAUGGGGGUUGGUGGAAAGGGGUUUUCUGGUGGGGGAUGGGCUCGCGGCCUAUCAGCUUGUUGGUGGGGUGAUGGCCUACCAAGGCUUUGACGGGUAGCCGGCCUGAGAGGGUGAACGGUCACAUUGGGACUGAGAUACGGCCCAGACUCCGACGGGGGGCAGCAGUGGGGACUAUUGCACAAUGGGCGCAAGCCUGAUGCAGCGACGCCGCGUGAGGGAUGGAGGCCUUCGGGUUGUGAACCUCUUUCGGUCAUGGUCAAGCCGAAACAAUGGUUGUGGUGAGGGUAGUGGGUAAAGAAGCGCCGGCUAACUACGUG